AGGGAGACCUCUCUUGGUUCCUUGUUGUUGUUGUUGUCUCCAUGUAAUGUAAACCAAAAUCUUUCAGUAAAGUGUUGCCUUAGCUGUAGGUGCCAAUGUUUGUGUUUAAGGGUAUGGGAAAAAGGUAUCAUUCCUUCCAAAACUCAUAUUUUCUAAGAUGAUGCCAAUGGCAAGGGUAGGUUUUUUUCCUCUUCCUGCUUUUGUUGUAAAUAGCACUGAAGUAGUGAUGAUUUGCUAGCUUGCCUUUGAUGUUUAUUUUAUUACCGUUCCACUAUUUGUGUGGAAAAUGUACACAUUGUCUCUUAUCUUUAUUCAAAGAACUUAAAAAGUCAUUCAAAUGCUGUAGGUAAACACGUCAGACAUAACAGAAGCUUUUUCACAGCUGUACUUCAAGACUAGGAGUGGAUGGCAAAGCUGGUUUUGCAAGAUUUAAGAGGGGACAGAAGCUUGUACUCAAAAUAAUACUAAGAUAGCUAUUAAUGGCUGGGAGGAGGGAACCUUUCUAAGAUCAGCACUGCUUCUUGUUGCGGCUCAAGGCCUCUUUGGUAUCUCCGAGCCAGUGCAUGCUGUAAACUGAACCUUGAAAUCUGUGGUGACUCUUAGCUGAGAAAACAUACAAAAGUGCUUGUGAAAGGGCCAUGCAUGGUUUAAGCAGAGCCUUCUUGGCCCGAGUGAGAGCAGUGUCAAGCUCAUUGCUGUUGCUGCCCAUGAAACAACGAGCAAAGUUGUAAGAAAGGGUGAAAUAGUACAACUACUCGUGUCUCUCACCACUGAGAGUAUAUGUAACCUCAAGCCUUUUCCUGCCAUAGUUUUUUAAAAGGCACAGUAUCGCCUUCAGGUUUAUAAAGAUUAACACAAUCAUCGGAAAAACUGAUUCUGUUAAGUAAACUUCACAUCAAAAGCACUUUGAUGUGCUGUAUUAUAGCAAAGCCAAACACCCCACCCCCAUCACCCCAAGAAAAACCUCCAAAAACCUCCAGUGAAGCAAUGUAAAAAAAAAAAAAUCUAAUUCUUUGUUCUAAAAUGAAAUGUCUCUUCCUCUUUAGAUCAACAGAGCAGGACUUUUUGAUGUAUGACCCCCUCUUUUCCUACCCAAAACAGUACCGACUUAAAGACAAAUGAAGAAAUGUGAAUGGUUGCUUGAAAAUCACGUGCUCAGCUUUGCAUCCCAUUUUCUAUAGUAUUUGACUAAUUUAUUUCAGAAAUAGUAAGAGUGUUCCAGUGGAUAUUUGGAGAUAAGGUAGUGUAGUCCUUUGCAGUUUGUUCGAACUACAAAUUAUAAAAACGUUUGUUACUAAAUGUAGCAAAAUGCUACACUCUCUGGUGGUUGUGGAUAUAUUUUUGGUUGACCCAGUUAUGUUGUCUCUGUAGUAUUUUAAACCAUGGAGACAUGGAUUUUUCAGUUCAGCAAACAUCGUGCAAAGGUGUGUCAUAAUAUGGUCUUGCUUUUAAAUAUUUAAAAAAUGAUUUCUUUUAAUUCUUUUCACACAGUCCUUUCUUACCAUCUUUUCUGCCUUCUGUCUCUCCAGACCACUGACUAGAAUAGAGAGAUUUUCCAAGUAAGCUCCUAUGGGCACAACUGGUAAAUAAAGGUCAUGCUGGUGACCGGGAAAGUCCUAUGGUUAGUGGUAGGCAUGCGUAUUUGUGCAUCUGAGAUGUCCGGCACACCAGCUGGACAAAGUGCUUCAUCAUCUCUUCUCCUCAUCCUGUGGCAAAGCUGCAGGAGGGCACUGCCUUGCCAGGAAUGAUGAAAUUGGACAAUGCAAUACUCUACAUGAGCAACAAUAGACCAGUUCAAAGAGUUCACUUUGGAUGGGCUGCUCACAGCAGGAGAUGUACCUAGCAUGCAUAAAUGAACUACAGAGUCUGUGAAGGUUGGCUAAUUGCACUAUGUAUAUUUUUAUAGUUGAAGGAAAUCCAGCUGGAGACUGAGCUGUAAGAAGGGAGGUUAGUGGAAAUUCCUUUAGACCUUGUGAGGAAAAGUUUGAUCACUGAAGCAGAAUGUAUGUCUGUGUGAAUUCCCUCAUUGGGAAAGAUUGGCACUUUUUCACAAGGACAGCCAUUCCCUGUGGGUAGAGAUUCUCUCAUGUCUUUGGCAGGUACUAAGAGCUGAAUUUACAAUGGGGAGUUCCAUUUCAACUUUGUUUCAUGCAGUCUUUAUUUUCUUGGGAGCCGUUGCUCAGAAUAAAAUUUUCCCAUGCUGAGAGCUUAGUAUCACUUCCUCCCUAUGCACACUUCAUGUUCCAUAAAAAAGUCCAUCUAAGCAAAUUUUUUUAACCAGAGUCCUGGAUUGUGACAGAAUGGGCAGGGGAAGACUUUCUCCUGUGAAGACAGUGACAUUAUUGCUCUUGUUACUAAUGCUUAGUGCUGGAGAAAUAGUUCCAGGUUCCUACACCAUCAUUUUCACCCAGAGAUCUCAGAGCUCUCCCUUCUUACAGGCAAUGAGGAGUGAAGGGGAGUCCUGUUGAAAAUAAUUUGGUAAGUUGGUUGCCACCCCAUCUGUAGAACUGAGCUCUUUGGAGCCCUUGUCCUGCACUAUGUCCACUGAGGUAUCCAUCACAAGGCAUCAUCAGAAAGCAUUGUAUCAUUUGGCAAGGAGCUGUCAAAAUGGAGAUUGUUAUGUCCUGAGACUCAGAUAAUUUAUAGCUAAUUCUCUGUUUUUACUAGUGCUAUGUUAAGUCUCAGGAGCUUGAAUGGAGUUCCACACCAGCAUAAGAUGAACCUCUCUGGAAUACAUUGCUGGUUUGCAGUCUGAGAAAGUGCAUGACGUAAAAGAGUGCAGGGUGAGGUUAAAUUAACAUAGUAUUUACAACAUAUUUUGUGAUGACAAUUCAAUAACUUUCCCUGUAGGCUCUUCUCAUAGCUGAUUGCCUGCUUUCAUGUAACUGCACCGAGAGAGAAAAUCCAAAUGGUGUUGGACUUACAGGAUUGUGGAUCUCUUCAAAGAGAUUUUUCUUAUAGCAAGAAAGAACUGGUAUUGGAAAGGCAGCACAUGUAUUGAUAAGUCUGGAGGUAAUUGUCAGGACAGAAUUGCUUGUGAAGAGACAGACUCCACCGCAAUUAGAAGUUAUGCUGCGUUAUGUUUGUUGUGAAGUUCUGAUGCAGAAGCCAUUUGGUGAAUUCUGUGGCUCUCUGCCAGGAAUAGUGAAUAUUUUUUGCUAGUGGUGCCAAACAAACUUAAAAAGAAACCAUCAUAGCUUGUUAUUGUUGGUGCCAGACCAAAUAUCUGCUGGCGCCAAACUUGGUAUUGAUGCCAGAGGCUUGCUGUCACUGGCCCAUGAUAUGAGGAAACACCAUGUGAGCUGUUACAAUAGCCUCUUAUUGCCUUCAAGCCCAUGCAUUGAUGGAGUAGAGUGAACAACUUCGUAAGAGAAGUACAGCAGAAUUAACCAAGAAAUGAAGGGCUUUGAGUCAUUGAACUUUGCUAGCCCUUCCUGGAGUACACCUAAGCCAGCUCAAAACCACAUAUAUUUUACAUGGGUAAACAGUGACUGGAGAUAUGAAGGAUAUGUUUCAAUUCAACUAAAACUAUUUUUAGCACUGUGGAUCAACAAAUUAAUCACAUUGCCAAUAAUAUUCCAGUUGAACAGCAAUAAGUAUUUACCGUUCUUACUUCUGGAUUGGAUUUCUUUUGUUGUUUCUUUGUUUUCAAAAAGCUAUUUAUGGGUGAAAUCCCAUGAUUUAUAUAAGCACUAGCCAAAUCCAUAAAUAAAUAAUGGUGUUAAAAUCUUCUUGAUUUUUUUUUUCUAAGACCAAGUCAACUGCUCCAUUGUAAUGGAGCUAUUUGGGAGCAAGGUGCUGACACCCAGACCUUCCAGUGGCAGGCAGGAUUUUGCAGUAUUGCCUUCAAAUUAUAUCUCUCUUGUGUGUCUUUUGUCCCCUAUUUUCUGUGUUCCAUCUUCCUUCCCUGCAACGCCCUGGACAGCUCCAGAACACUACUAGUGUCUUUGAAAAUCUGGUCCAUGCUGCUGCUUGCUUACUCCUGGAAAAUGUAGCAUAGUUACAGGGUACAUCCACUACACUAUACCUCAGCUGGUGGGGGAUGAGGAUUUAUAUUCUCCAAACUGUGUUCCAGAAAUUGGGUAUGUUUUCACCACUUUUUGGAUGGCAAAGAAAUGCAGUAAAAGCUGAGGGGGCUGGUUCUUCAGUUGCUGCAGAUCUAACAAAAUCAUUAGUUUGUUGAGUUGCAUGCACUGUGUAUUUGAUUUCCAGCUCCUAGGUGAGUUCUUAAGGGAUUAACCGAGUUUCAAUCUCUUGAAGGUGUGAAUAAACAUCCUGUUGCCUCACACCCAUGAAAUUUCUUCCCUAAAGAUGUCAAAGUGCUUUGUGCAGAGUGUUGCUAUUUUGGUUCUGUAAGUAAAGGUUCGCAGGUUCCAAAUGUCUUGGCCAAACUUAAAUGAUCUAAGAUGGGAAUAGGACAUGGGUUUCCAAAUUCCUCCACUACUGUUCUACCCACUAACCCUGUUUUUUUCUCUGAACCUUUACAUAUACUUUAAUAGAUUAAUAAUUAACCUCCAAGUGGGGCACUUUGAGGCAAAUGUAAAAUGAAACCAAACACUUGUCAUGGUUUUUAGUCAUACCAGAUUUGUAAGUAGGGUGUGUUUAAAUGAUGCAGGUAGAUAAAGUCUUGUUAAUUUAGAUUAGAGUAAAAGUCAGUGCCUUAUCAAAGCAAGUGACUAAUUAGGAAAACUAUUACCUUUUGGAAAAGAAACAGUUGAACUAUCACUCAAAAUUAUUUUAACUAAUUGAACAGUACUAGUAUUUAUGCUGAAUAAAGGCUCUUGCAACUGCUGGGAAAGGAGAAAUACAGAGAGCUUUUCCCAGAAAUUGCUCGUGUUUUGGUGGGUUUUUUUGAUAAUUUUGCUUUUAGAAACUUAACAGUACUUGUCAUCAUUGUGUAAACAUGGGGAAGGGAGGAGAGUCCUGUGAGUCAUGAGGGAGCCAAACUUAAAGAAUUUAGGUGAAGAGCUGGAGCAUUUAUGUUAAAUAUACUACCUUCGGUCUCUUCACCUUACCAAGCCAACAGGACAGCAAAGUUCUCGUGAAUGGUUUGAAAUGAUGCAGUGAAUCUCACGUCUGUAAUAACAGACAUUGGGCAUUUGAAAACCUGCAAGAGUGGAAACACUAGGGCAAAUUCAUGGUGUGAAAAGAAAGAUUAUGAUCAGACUGUGUUUAUGUUCAGACAGAUACAUGCAAUUGUGAGGAAUCAUUAAAUAACUGUUAACCACACCUGCACAGAGCCUCUGGCAAUGCUGGCUUAUACAGAAUCUCAAGAACUGCCAUGUACCUGACAUCAUACCUUUGCAAGGAAAGAAAAGUCCUAGGUGUUAGCCCAAGACUGGAAAGAGCAAUACUGUUGUUCUCUUCAGCAGUGUACUUCUGGGGAUGUGUUGGCUGGAUUUCUGUCCCAUUAGCACUGAAGAGUUUUGCCCAAGAACAUUGCAGGGAAUCUGUCUUUCUCAGUGUGUUGUGAGUCUUCCCUUUCAGAGCAAGGAGACAAGGAGACAGCACAAUAUCCUGGCAAUCUGUGUAUGCAUUAAUGAAGUGUCUGCCCGCACUUCUUAACGUAGGACACUUGGAGUUUUGUACCAUUUCCUAAUGGCUUCCCUUUAUGUAAUCUCAUAUGUCAGAGGUCUGUGCAAUCUUGUCUCAUAACAUGGAAGACUGGCACAGCUACAUUCCUGGAACACUUAG
Corapipo altera (White-ruffed manakin) is the source of this 5694-nucleotide long non-coding RNA. RefSeq lists it as uncharacterized. The record is from RefSeq and is a predicted model, not a curated record. The transcript is spliced from 4 exons. NCBI's taxonomy places the organism in Eukaryota, Metazoa, Chordata, Aves, Passeriformes, Pipridae.